This 253-nucleotide ribosomal RNA is filed under the name uncultured bacterium. RNAcentral's name for it is "partial 16S ribosomal RNA". It matches the Rfam family "Bacterial small subunit ribosomal RNA", at positions 524 to 776 of the family's 1533-position model. The record is from RNAcentral.
UACGGGGGGGGCAAGCGUUGUUCGGAAUUACUGGGCGUAAAGGGCUCGUAGGCGGCCAACUAAGUCAGACGUGAAAUCCCUCGGCUUAACCGGGGAACUGCGUCUGAUACUGGAUGGCUUGAGUUUGGGAGAGGGAUGCGGAAUUCCAGGUGUAGCGGUGAAAUGCGUAGAUAUCUGGAGGAACACCGGUGGCGAAGGCGGCAUUCUGGACCGAAACUGACGCUGAGGCGCGAAAGCCAGGGGAGCAAACGGG